GACGAACGCUGGCGGCGUGCUUAACACAUGCAAGUCGAACGGUGAAGCGCUUGCCUUUUUGGUGGGUGUGGAUGAGUGGCGAACGGGUGAGUAACACGUGAGUAACCUGCCCUCUUCUUCUGGAUAACCUCAUGAAAGUGGGGCUAAUACGGGGUAUUCCGGGUCUGUCGCAUGGCGGGUUUGGUAAAGAUUGCGCCUUUGGGUGUUUUCGGUGUGGGAUGGGCUCGCGGCCUAUCAGCUUGUUGGUGGGGUGAUGGCCUACCAAGGCGGUGGGGGGUAGGCGGCCUGAGAGGGUGGACGGCCACACUGGGACUGAGACACGGCCCAGACUCCUGCGGGAGGCAGCAGUGGGGAAUAUUGCACAAUGGGCGAAAGCCUGAUGCAGCGACGCCGCGUGAGGGAUGGAGGCCUUCGGGUUGUGAACCUCUUUCGCCAGUGAAGCAGGCCUGCCUCGUUUGUGGGUGGGUUGACGGUAGCUGGAUAAGAAGCGCCGGCUAACUACGUG
Molecule: ribosomal RNA, 505 nt
Filed under: uncultured bacterium
Lineage: Bacteria
Description: partial 16S ribosomal RNA
Rfam family: Bacterial small subunit ribosomal RNA
Source: RNAcentral